Molecule: ribosomal RNA, 440 nt
Filed under: uncultured bacterium
Lineage: Bacteria
Description: partial 16S ribosomal RNA
Rfam family: Bacterial small subunit ribosomal RNA
Source: RNAcentral
CCUACGGGAGGCAGCAGUGGGGAAUAUUGCACAAUGGGGGAAACCCUGAUGCAGCGACGCCGCGUGAGUGAAGAAGUAAUUCGUUAUGUAAAGCUCUAUCAGCAGGGAAGAAAAUGACGGUACCUGAGUAAGAAGCCCCGGCUAACUACGUGCCAGCAGCCGCGGUAAUACGUAGGGGGCAAGCGUUAGCCGGAUUUACUGGGUGUAAAGGGAGCGUAGACGGCAGUGCAAGUCUGGAGUGAAAGGCGGGGGGUCAACCCCCGGACUGCUCUGGAAACUGUACGGCUGGAGUGCAGGAGAGGUAAGUGGAAUUCCUAGUGUAGCGGUGAAAUGCGUAGAUAUUAGGAGGAACACCAGUGGCGAAGGCGGCUUACUGGACUGUUACUGACGUUGAGGCUCGAAAGCGUGGGGAGCAAACAGGAUUAGAUACCCUUGUAGUC